ACCUCCAGCUAAGGUCCCCAAGUCAUGGCUAAGUGGGAAAGGAUGUGAGGAUCCCAAAACAACCAGGAUGUUGGCUUAGAAGCAGCCAUCAUUUAAAGAAAGCGUAACAGCUCACUGGUCUAAAUAAGGGUCUUUGCGCCGAAAAUGUAACGGGGCUGAAGCCAUGCACCGAAGCUGAGGAUACGUCGUAAGACGUGUGGUAGCGGAGCGUUCCGUAAGCCAGUGAAGGGAUACCCGUGAGGGGUCCUGGAGGUAUCGGAAGUGCGAAUGUUGACAUGAGUAACGAUAAAGAGGGUGAGAGACCCUCUCGCCGAAAGACCAAGGGUUCCUGCUUAAAGUUAAUCUGAGCAGGGUUAGCCGGCCCCUAAGACGAGGCGGACACGCGUAGUCGAUGGGAACCACGUUAAUAUUCGUGGGCCUGGUGGUAGUGACGGAUUGCUCAACUUGUCCGGACUUAUUGGAUUGUCCGGGCGGGGACGCGGUUCCAGGAAAUAGCUCCACCGUAUAGACCGUACCCGAAACCGACACAGGUGGUCAGGUAGAGUAUACCAAGGCGCUUGAGAGAACUAUGUUGAAGGAACUCGGCAAAUUGCACGCGUAACUUCGGAAGAAGCGUGACCCUUUUCUACGCAAGUAGGAUGGGGUGGCACAGACCAGGGGGUAGCGACUGUUUAUCAAAAACACAGGGCUCUGCGAAGUCGCAAGACGACGUAUAGGGUCUGACGCCUGCCCGGUGCUGGAAGGUUAAGAGGAGGGGUGCAAGCUCUGAAUCGAAGCCCCAGUAAACGGCGGCCGUAACUAUAACGGUCCUAAGGUAGCGAAAUUCCUUGUCGGGUAAGUUCCGACCUGCACGAAUGGCGUAACGACUUCCCCGCUGUCUCCAACAUAGACUCAGUGAAAUUGAAUUCCCCGUGAAGAUGCGGGGUUCCUGCGGUCAGACGGAAAGACCCCGUGCACCUUUACUAUAGCUUUACACUGGCAUUCGUGUCGGCAUGUGUAGGAUAGGUGGUAGGCUUUGAAGCGGGGACGCCAGUUCUCGUGGAGCCAUCCUUGAAAUACCACCCUUAUCGUCAUGGAUGUCUAACCGCGGUCCGUCAUCCGGAUCCGGGACAGUGUAUGGUGGGUAGUUUGACUGGGGCGGUCGCCUCCGAAAGAGUAACGGAGGCGCGCGAUGGUGGGCUCAGAGCGGUCGGAAAUCGCUCGUCGAGUGCAAUGGCAUAAGCCCGCCUGACUGCGAGACUGACAAGUCGAGCAGAGACGAAAGUCGGUCAUAGUGAUCCGGUGGUCCCGCGUGGAAGGGCCAUCGCUCAACGGAUAAAAGGUACGCCGGGGAUAACAGGCUGAUGACCCCCAAGAGUCCAUAUCGACGGGGUUGUUUGGCACCUCGAUGUCGGCUCAUCGCAUCCUGGGGCUGGAGCAGGUCCCAAGGGUUUGGCUGUUCGCCAAUUAAAGCGGUACGUGAGCUGGGUUCAGAACGUCGUGAGACAGUUCGGUCCCUAUCUGCCGUGGGUGUAGGAAUAUUGACAGGAUCUGUCCCUAGUACGAGAGGACCGGGAUGGACAUAUCUCUGGUGGACCUGUUGUCCUGCCAAGGGCAUAGCAGGGUAGCUAUAUAUGGAAGGGAUAACCGCUGAAGGCAUCUAAGCGGGAAACCCACCUGAAAACGAGUAUUCCCUUGAGAACCGUGGAAGACGACCACGUUGAUAGGCCGGGUGUGGAAGUGCGGCAACGCAUGAAGCUUACCGGUACUAAUCGUUCGAUUGGCUUGAUC
This 1770-nucleotide ribosomal RNA is filed under the name Sinorhizobium meliloti C0438LL. RNAcentral's name for it is "bacterial LSU rRNA". It matches the Rfam family "Bacterial large subunit ribosomal RNA", at positions 1031 to 2925 of the family's 2925-position model. Lineage: Bacteria; Pseudomonadati; Pseudomonadota; Alphaproteobacteria; Hyphomicrobiales; Rhizobiaceae. The record is from RNAcentral.